CCUGAAAUAUAAUCUUUUUUGGUGCUGGUGUUAC
Molecule: small RNA, 34 nt
Filed under: Bombyx mori (domestic silkworm)
Lineage: Eukaryota; Metazoa; Arthropoda; Insecta; Lepidoptera; Bombycidae
Description: ovarian small RNA-14020
Source: RNAcentral